This is an RNA transcript of Mangifera indica (mango), 1170 nucleotides long. RefSeq lists it as uncharacterized. Lineage: Eukaryota; Viridiplantae; Streptophyta; Magnoliopsida; Sapindales; Anacardiaceae. The transcript has 6 exons. The record is from RefSeq and is a predicted model, not a curated record.
GUUCCAUUUCUCGCCGAGCCGCGAUCUUCACGUGUCUUUUCCUUGUUUUUUUUAAUUUUUAAUUUUCCUGUCAUUUUUAAUUUAUUUUAUUUUAUUUUCUCCUUCUCAGCUUCCUUUCUCCUUCUCUGACGGUGAUUUUCGAAUUUUGUUAUAUUCAUCUCUCUCUUUCUCAGCGGCUGAGAGGUUCAUUCCAAAGAAAGAGAGAAAUGGAAGGACGAAAGCCGACUGGUUCAUCUUCUUCAUUAACAAAUCAGUUGUUUGGUUCCAAGGAUUCUGAUUCUUCUUCGGGGAUUUUUGGCUCCAUCUUUUCACCUCCUUCUAAGGUCUUAGGAAGAGAGUCUCUGCGUUCUGAAUCAAUGGAGAAAAAGCAAGAGCCCUGGAACAACAAACAUGGAGUUCCUGGUGAUGCCUCUAAAACUAGUGAAACUGAGAGUCCAGGCACUCCAAACAAGGACCUGAGUUCGUUUUAUCAGGAACAAAGAGUACAACCGUGUCAUCUCAGUUCAUCAAUCUAUUAUGGUGGUCAAGACAUCUAUUCUGAGCCCCAGAAUAAGCAGAGCCCUGAAAUUAACUCUACGUUUAAAAAUGAUGGAGAAGAUGAUUCAGGGAGUGCUUCGAGAGGGAAUUGGUGGCAAGGGUCUCUCUAUUAUUAAGAGUUAACUUGCCAGCGCUUACAUACUUACCAAGGUAUCAUACAUCUGAGAAAUUCACUCCUUGGAUGCCUUGAUUGUAUGCCAUCAACCUUUUUUAAUUUAGUUUGGAUUGCUUACAUUUGACUAUAUGCCUUCAAGCAGAGCUGGUUGUUAUUGCUUCGUCCAGCUAUAUGGCAACAUCGCUCAGUAGCCAGAUAGUGAUAUGCACUUCUUUUACAGAAAACCUGUUUUACUGUAAAUGAUGUGAACUUGGUGUUUUUAAUGUAAAGGAUGCUUGGUUUAGACUUCAUUUACAACUCUUCUCCAUGAUAGUGGAGUGGUGGGAUCUUUGAACAUAAGAUCGUAAUAAGUAUCUUUAUCAGUUGUUGAACUCUUGAUCUUGUUUCCUGCUUUGUAUGGAAUUUGUGUAUAACUUCACUCCUAUUGUAUUCAGUCCUUCUGAAUACAAGUCAUUUUGGUACUAUUGCUCAUACUGGGUCUAAAUACAAGUAAUGGAAUGUGUGUAAUGUUGAUCAUA